RNAcentral lists this ribosomal RNA (464 nucleotides) under uncultured Klebsiella sp. RNAcentral describes it as "bacterial SSU rRNA". It matches the Rfam family "Bacterial small subunit ribosomal RNA", at positions 338 to 795 of the family's 1533-position model. Lineage: Bacteria; Pseudomonadati; Pseudomonadota; Gammaproteobacteria; Enterobacterales; Enterobacteriaceae. The record is from RNAcentral.
CCUACGGGAGGCAGCAGUGGGGAAUAUUGCACAAUGGGCGCAAGCCUGAUGCAGCCAUGCCGCGUGUGUGAAGAAGGCCUUCGGGUUGUAAAGCACUUUCAGCGGGGAGGAAGGCGGUGAGGUUAAUAACCUCAUCGAUUGACGUUACCCGCAGAAGAAGCACCGGCUAACUCCGUGCCAGCAGCCGCGGUAAUACGGAGGGUGCAAGCGUUAAUCGGAAUUACUGGGCGUAAAGCGCACGCAGGCGGUCUGUCAAGUCGGAUGUGAAAUCCCCGGGCUCAACCUGGGAACUGCAUUCGAAACUGGCAGGCUAGGGUCUUGUAGAGGGGGGUAGAAUUCCAGGUGUAGCGGUGAAAUGCGUAGAGAUCUGGAGGAAUACCGGUGGCGAAGGGGCCCCCUGGACAAAGACUGACGCUCAGGUGCGAAAGCGUGGGGAGCAAACAGGAUUAGAUACCCCGGUAGUC